GCAGAUGGGUUGAAGAUUGGGAUGUUAACAAAAUUAUAAUCUGCAACAGGUGUCAAAUAGCUGUCCACCAAGAAUGCUAUGGAGCAAGGAACGUUGAAGAUCUUACUUCAUGGGUGUGCAGAGCAUGUGAAACUCCUGAUAUUGAGAGGGAGUGUUGCCUUUGUCCUCUCAAAGGAGGUGCUUUAAAGCCAAGUGAUAUUGAGAUGCUGUGGGUUCACGUCACAUGUGCCUGGUUUCGACCUGAAGUUGGUUUCUUAAAUCAUGAAAAAAUGGAACCUGCCACUGGAAUCCUUAGAAUUCCAUCAACUACAUUUUUGAAGAAUUGUGUUA
Molecule: unclassified non-coding RNA, 330 nt
Filed under: Hevea brasiliensis (rubber tree)
Lineage: Eukaryota; Viridiplantae; Streptophyta; Magnoliopsida; Malpighiales; Euphorbiaceae
Source: RNAcentral